ACUUACAAGCAAGCCUGCGCCCCCGGCACCACCUUUAAUCAGGCCAUCUACCGCUGCACUUAAACUGCGCCUCCACCACCACCUGCGCCACCCAGGAACACCUGGUGGAUAUGACGACGAUGACUAUCUGGAAGAGCAGCAACAACAAACAACAAAGCAGCAACAACAAACAACAAAGCAGCAACAACAAACAACAAAGCAGCAACAACAAAAGAAAAGGAUUUACUAUUACCAAGAAGGACAACAAAUACAACAACAAUGAACCGCAGUACCGAGUACAGCCAGAACAUCAAAAACUUUAAAUGCCAGCCACAACAACAAUAAAAACAACAACUACAACAACAGCAAUGGCAACAACUUCAAGAGCAGCAACAACGUCAACAAAAACAUCUACAACAACAACAACAACAAUGGCCAUAACAAAAAUCAAUUUCACUGGAUAAGAAUCAGCUUGACAGUGUACACAACAAUGACUGGCUUGUGUUGACACCCUCCACACACACACCUGCUGCCUCUAUACACACCUGCUCUUACACACAUGCUGUCUCCACACACCUGCUAAUACGUACAUAUUUGUCAAUUUUGCACAGCUUCUGUUCUUAUUAACCCAUGUUGCUCUGCAUUCUCUUAUAAGAACUUGUUUUGAUCAUUCAGUAAAUCAGUUUCAUUUACACUGGAAUUAUGUAAACACUUGUAUAUGGCCGAUUUCUUUCAUCUUACAUAUUAUAUCUAAGGAAUAUAAUUUACAAUUGUCCUUUUUAAUCUUGCAAUCAAGUAAUCCAUUAUAGAAAAUUAUUUACAACUGGCUUUUAAUAGAUUAAAAUGUAAACAAAAAUAUUCAUAAAUGUGCUUUUCUUUCCCAAAUAAAUAUCCAUAAAAAAUAUCA
Molecule: long non-coding RNA, 886 nt
Organism: Homarus americanus (American lobster)
Lineage: Eukaryota; Metazoa; Arthropoda; Malacostraca; Decapoda; Nephropidae
Exons: 2
Source: RefSeq, a predicted model, not a curated record